GGCCCGCACAAGCGGUGGAGCAUGUGGUUUAAUUCGAUGCAACGCGAAGAACCUUACCUGGUCUUGACAUCCACGGAAGUUUUCAGAGAUGAGAAUGUGCCUUCGGGAACCGUGAGACUGGUGCUGCAUGGCUGUCGUCAGCUCGUGUUGUGAAAUGUUGGGUUAAGUCCCGCAACGAGCGCAACCCUUAUCCUUUGUUGCCAGCGGUCCGGCCGGGAACUCAAAGGAGACUGCCAGUGAUAAACUGGAGGAAGGUGGGGAUGACGUCAAGUCAUCAUGGCCCUUACGACCAGGGCUACACACGUGCUACAAUGGCGCAUACAAAGAGAAGCGACCUCGCGAGAGCAAGCGGACCUCAUAAAGUGCGUCGUAGUCCGGAUUGGAGUCUGCAACUCGACUCCAUGAAGUCGGAAUCGCUAGUAAUCGUAGAUCAGAAUGCUACGGUGAAUACGUUCCCGGGCCUUGUACACACCGCCCGUCACACCAUGGGAGUGGGUUGCAAAAGAAGUAGGUAGCUUAACCUUCGGGAGGGCGCUUACCACUUUGUGAUUCAUGA
RNAcentral lists this ribosomal RNA (556 nucleotides) under uncultured bacterium. RNAcentral's name for it is "bacterial SSU rRNA". It matches the Rfam family "Bacterial small subunit ribosomal RNA", at positions 918 to 1474 of the family's 1533-position model. The record is from RNAcentral.